Molecule: small nucleolar RNA, 130 nt
Organism: Cricetulus griseus (Chinese hamster)
Lineage: Eukaryota; Metazoa; Chordata; Mammalia; Rodentia; Cricetidae
Source: Ensembl
CCCCAGAGAGUUGAGUUCAGUUCAGAGCAGCUUCCCUGUUCUGUUAACUAAACUUUGUGACAUUGAAUGUAGUUAAGGGAAAUGACUGAAUAGAGAAUAUUACUCUUCAUAUACUUCCUAGUCGAUACCA